Molecule: ribosomal RNA, 450 nt
Filed under: uncultured bacterium
Lineage: Bacteria
Description: partial 16S ribosomal RNA
Rfam family: Bacterial small subunit ribosomal RNA
Source: RNAcentral
GUGGGGAAUAUUGGACAAUGGGCGAAAGCCUGAUCCAGCCAUGCCGCGUGUGUGAAGAAGGUCCUCGGAUUGUAAAGCACUUUAAGUUGGGAGGAAGGGCAGUAAGUUAAUACCUUGCUGUUUUGACGUUACCGACAGAAUAAGCACCGGCUAACUUCGUGCCAGCAGCCGCGGUAAUACGAAGGGUGCAAGCGUUAAUCGGAAUUACUGGGCGUAAAGCGCGCGUAGGUGGUUUUGUAAGUUGGAGGUGACAUCCCCGGGCUCAACCUGGGAACUGCCUCCAAAACUGCAUGACUAGAGUACGGUAGAGGGUAGUGGAAUUUCCUGUGUAGCGGUGAAAUGCGUAGAUAUAGGAAGGAACACCAGUGGCGAAGGCGACUACCUGGACUGAUACUGACACUGAGGUGCGAAAGCGUGGGGAGCAAACAGGAUUAGAAACCCGGGUAGUCC